AGCUCAAAUCAUAGACCCGCACCGAGGCAAGGUGGUUUUCACUGAGGCAUCUCUCGACUCGACGUCUAUUACCGUGAAGAAUGUAACAUGGGCGGACGAAGCCUGCUAUAUUUGCUCCUUCAACGUUUACCCGAGUGGAUCAAGACGCAAGCAGAAGUGUCUUACAGUUCAAGGAGUAUCUGAAGUGAGAGCCACAAUGCAAAAAGUCCCCAGCACUGAACCUAAAGUAAACAUGGAAGUUGUGGUCAGCUGCUCAGCCACGGGAAAACCAGCACCUUGGAUCCAAUGGAACAUUUCUGCAGCGUCACUCAUAAAGACGCCUAACAACUGGACUGUCGUUAACAAAGACCAAACUGUCACAGCCAUUAGCAACAUCACCCUCCAACUGUUGCCAGGUUCAGGGGGAUACGUGGACUGUAUGGUAAACAAUGGGACGAGGACACAGAGACACGAGAGAGUCCUGCUUCCUGUUCUCCCUGGAGAGAGGGAGGUUGAAGAGGAUGACAGGAAGACAUCCCUGUGGGCGGUUGGCAUUCCAGUUAUCCUAAUCAUUUCCCUUUUAGUCAUCUUUAGCUGUGUCAAGCUUCA
Molecule: long non-coding RNA, 588 nt
Organism: Coregonus clupeaformis (lake whitefish)
Lineage: Eukaryota; Metazoa; Chordata; Actinopteri; Salmoniformes; Salmonidae
Exons: 3
Source: RefSeq, a predicted model, not a curated record